UAUUUUUCAGUUGGGAACUAUUGGCAUUUUGUAUGGAACUGUCCUGAACUUUGCAGGCUGUUUAUCAUCCCUACCCUUCACCCACCAAACGCCAGUAAAUUCCAAAUCACUGUGAUGACUAAAUAUGUCCUGCACAUUUUCAAGUUCCCACUAGGGGGCUUGUAUCACCCUUGACUACCAUUUGUCACAUGUUCACUAAUAAACACUUCCUGAUGGAUGUAGUGGGAUACAGCUUGGAGAUAAUGUUUCUCUCUUCACAGGCAUUUUGGUUCUCCUCUCCCACCACCAGGUCUCCCCCUUCACCCACUGAAUCAAUACAUUCAUAGUUUCAAGAUGAGGGUAAACAGCCAGGAACAAACAAGACAACUAAGUUUCUGAAUGAGUUGUUUGUUUUUCAUCUUCAAACAUAAGCUAUAAAGACAGCCCACCUGUAGAGAUGACCAAAAUGGGAUUCUUACUGCACACACUCAUUCCAGGUAAACCUAAAGUUGAUUUGUUUUGUUUUGCUUUGUUUUGUUUUGUUUUGUUUUGUUUUGAUACUGGUAAGAAGUUCGUGUUUUACAUUAGUAAUUUUUGCCUUUCUCUCUCUCUCCAGAACACGAGAGAAUUUCAGCUUGUUCUCAAAGAAUACCAAAAUAGUCUGAAAGAAAGAAAGAAAGAAAAGAA
Long non-coding RNA from Panthera uncia (snow leopard), 666 nucleotides. RefSeq lists it as uncharacterized. NCBI's taxonomy places the organism in Eukaryota, Metazoa, Chordata, Mammalia, Carnivora, Felidae. The transcript has 2 exons. The record is from RefSeq and is a predicted model, not a curated record.